UAACACAUGCAAGUCGUGAACAGGUACGCGGAACAUUGCUCCCUGAUUCAGCGGCGGACGGGUGAGUAAUGCCUAGGAAUCUGCCUAUUAGUGGGGGACAACGUUUCGAAAGGAACGCUAAUACCGCAUACGUCCUACGGGAGAAAGCAGGGGACCUUCGGGCCUUGCGCUAAUAGAUGAGCCUAGGUCGGAUUAGCUAGUUGGUGAGGUAAUGGCUCACCAAGGCGACGAUCCGUAACUGGUCUGAGAGGAUGAUCAGUCACACUGGAACUGAGACACGGUCCAGACUCCUACGGGAGGCAGCAGUGGGGAAUAUUGGACAAUGGGCGAAAGCCUGAUCCAGCCAUGCCGCGUGUGUGAAGAAGGUCUUCGGAUUGUAAAGCACUUUAAGUUGGGAGGAAGGGUUGUAGAUUAAUACUCUGCAAUUUUGACGUUACCGACAGAAUAAGCACCGGCUAACUCUGUGCCAGCAGCCGCGGUAAUACAGAGGGUGCAAGCGUUAAUCGGAAUUACUGGGCGUAAAGCGCGCGUAGGUGGUUUGUAAGUUGGAUGUGAAAACCACUGG
Molecule: ribosomal RNA, 565 nt
Filed under: Phytopseudomonas punonensis
Lineage: Bacteria; Pseudomonadati; Pseudomonadota; Gammaproteobacteria; Pseudomonadales; Pseudomonadaceae
Description: bacterial SSU rRNA
Rfam family: Bacterial small subunit ribosomal RNA
Source: RNAcentral